This 441-nucleotide ribosomal RNA is filed under the name uncultured bacterium. Its description in RNAcentral is "partial 16S ribosomal RNA". It matches the Rfam family "Bacterial small subunit ribosomal RNA", at positions 338 to 795 of the family's 1533-position model. The record is from RNAcentral.
CCUACGGGUGACAGCAGUCGGGAAUAUUGCGCAAUGGAGGAAAGUCUGACGCAGUGACGCCGCGUGCAGGAAGAAGGUUUUCGGAUUGUAAACUGCUUUAGACAGGGAAGAAUAAAGACAGUAACUGUAGAAUAAGCUCCGGCGAACUACGUGCCAGCAGCCGCGGGAAUACGUAGGGAGCAAGCGUUAUCCGGAUUUACUGGGUGUAAAGGGUGCGUAGACGGGAAAACAAGUUAGUUGUGAAAUCCCUCAGCUUAACUGAAGAACUGCAACUAAAACUAUUUUUCUUGAGUGCUGGAGAGGAAAGUGGAAUUCCUAGUGUAGCGGUGAAAUGCGUAGAUAUUAGGAGGAACACCGGUGGCGAAGGCGGCCUGCUGGACUGUGACUGACGUUGAGGCCCGAAGGCGUGGGGAGCAAACAGGAUUAGAUACCCGAGUAGUC